UACGUAGGGUGCGAGCGUUUAAUCGGAAUUACUGGACGUAAAGCGUGCGCAGGCGGUUAUGUAAGACAGGUGUGAAAUCCCCGGGCUUAACCUGGGAACUGCAUUUGUGACUGCAUAGCUAGAGUACGGUAGAGGGGGAUGGAAUUCCGCGUGUAGCAGUGGAAAUGCGUAGAUAUGACGGAGGAACACCGAUGGCGAAGGCAAUCCCCUGGACCUGCACUGACGCUCAUGCACGAAAGCGUGGGGAGCAAACGAGG
RNAcentral lists this ribosomal RNA (257 nucleotides) under uncultured bacterium. Its description in RNAcentral is "partial 16S ribosomal RNA". It matches the Rfam family "Bacterial small subunit ribosomal RNA", at positions 524 to 777 of the family's 1533-position model. The record is from RNAcentral.